This is a long non-coding RNA of Etheostoma spectabile (orangethroat darter), 330 nucleotides long. RefSeq lists it as uncharacterized. The transcript has 2 exons. The record is from RefSeq and is a predicted model, not a curated record. Lineage: Eukaryota; Metazoa; Chordata; Actinopteri; Perciformes; Percidae.
UCGGGGGUGCUGAAGCCGUAGCCAUUCUGGUCGAUGCCAGAAUAGGCACCACGGAUGGCAUCACCUUUUGGACAAAAUUGGAAAAAAAAUUUUACAGGCCGGACUUGCCAGUCCAGAAGAGAGCCGCUUCACUUCGGAGUCCUGCAGGUCGUUCCCACUCAGAUCAAGCUCCUUCAGGUGAGAGGUGUCGCAGCUGAGGACUGAGGCCGAAUCCGCACCGCAUUUCUGGAGAUUGCACUCAUUUAACCUGCACGGGAGGAUAUGGUUUGUGCUAGGGGUGUAACGAUACAUCAGUCUGGAUCGAUACAUCGCUUCAGUCCUCAGCAAUCC